This 243-nucleotide unclassified non-coding RNA is filed under the name Hevea brasiliensis (rubber tree). The record is from RNAcentral. Lineage: Eukaryota; Viridiplantae; Streptophyta; Magnoliopsida; Malpighiales; Euphorbiaceae.
GGAGAGCGUUCAUUGGCUUCUCUAUGGACUGGUCGUUGCAACGGCUAUGACGGGCUGGUUCUUUGCGUCGUUCCGGGGCUGGCACUUGUCGCCCCUAGUCGGAGUGCCGCUGCCGAUGCUGACUGCANNNNNNNNNGCCUGGUCGGCGGCUGGCAUCAAGCAGCAGGAUUUGGACUGCUCAUCGCCAUCGGCAUCCACGUUGCCGCAGCCUUCAUUCAUGCUUUCGUCUUCCGCGACCGGAUC